Molecule: transfer RNA, 72 nt
Filed under: Phrynosoma platyrhinos (Desert horned lizard)
Lineage: Eukaryota; Metazoa; Chordata; Lepidosauria; Squamata; Phrynosomatidae
Description: tRNA-OTHER
Source: RNAcentral
GCCAGUGUGGUGUAGCGGUUUGAAUGUUGGACUACAAUUCUGGAGAUCAGGGUUAGAUUGCCUGCUGGGCCA